CAAUUACUCCCUCCGAUCCAUAUGAAUUGUCGAAAUAUUACAUGUAUCUAGACGCUUUUUAGGCAUAGAUACAUCCAUAUUUGGGCAAAUUUGAGACAAUUAAUAUGGAUCGGAGGGAGUAAUUU
This is a non-coding RNA of Brachypodium distachyon (stiff brome), 125 nucleotides long. The record is from Rfam. NCBI's taxonomy places the organism in Eukaryota, Viridiplantae, Streptophyta, Magnoliopsida, Poales, Poaceae.